Molecule: ribosomal RNA, 207 nt
Filed under: uncultured bacterium
Lineage: Bacteria
Description: partial 16S ribosomal RNA
Rfam family: Bacterial small subunit ribosomal RNA
Source: RNAcentral
UACGUAGGGUCCGAGCGUUGUCCGGAAUUAUUGGGCGUAAAGGGCUCGUAGGCGGUCUGUCGCGUCGGGAGUGAAAUCUUACAGCUUAACUGUGAACUUGCUUUCGAUACGGGCAGACUUGAGGCAUUCAGGGGAGAACGGAAUUCCUGGUGUAGCGGUGAAAUGCGCAGAUAUCAGGAGGAACACCGGUGGCGAAGGCGGGGUCUC